RNAcentral lists this ribosomal RNA (489 nucleotides) under uncultured bacterium. RNAcentral's name for it is "partial 16S ribosomal RNA". It matches the Rfam family "Bacterial small subunit ribosomal RNA", at positions 30 to 506 of the family's 1533-position model. The record is from RNAcentral.
AUUGAACGCUGGCGGCAGGCCUAACACAUGCAAGUCGAACGGUAACAGGAAGCAGCUUGCUGCUUCGCUGACGAGUGGCGGACGGGUGAGUAAUGUCUGGGAAACUGCCUGAUGGAGGGGGAUAACUACUGGAAACGGUAGCUAAUACCGCAUAACGUCGCAAGACCAAAGAGGGGGACCUUAGGGCCUCUUGCCAUCGGAUGUGCCCAGAUGGGAUUAGCUAGUAGGUGGGGUAACGGCUCACCUAGGCGACGAUCCCUAGCUGGUCUGAGAGGAUGACCCGCCCCCCGGGACGUGAGCCCCGGUCCGACCCCCUAGGGGGGGCCGCGGUGGGAAAUUUUGCCCAAUGGGCGAAACCCGGAUGCAGCCAUGCCGGGGGUAUGAAGAAGGCCUUCGGGUUGUAAAGUCCUUUCCGGGGGGAGGAAGGGAGUAAAGUUAAUACCUUGCCUCAUUGCCGUUCCCCGCAGAAGAAGCCCCGGCUACCUCCGU